Molecule: non-coding RNA, 1875 nt
Organism: Coffea arabica (coffee)
Lineage: Eukaryota; Viridiplantae; Streptophyta; Magnoliopsida; Gentianales; Rubiaceae
Source: RefSeq, a predicted model, not a curated record
AACCGGAAAAAAUAAAAAUAAUACUCCUAUGGACCUAUUAAACCCCAAGAAAAAAUAAAUUAGAACGACAAACCAAAAAUCCUAAAAGCAGAGAAUAAUCCUGAUUGAGGAAUGAGUCGUCUCCCGCACCCCAGCCCUGAACGAAUGGCUUCCUUUGUUUCUCUCAACUGUUCCUUCCCACUCCAACCACCGCCAUCUGCUUCUUCUUCUUCUUCUUCUUCUUCAUUAUCUUCACCACAAUCUCAGCCACGUAAACUUAUCGACAUCUUAUCUUCCACCUGCCACCAAACAACAACAACAGCAACAAGAACAACUCCCGCUUCAACUCCACCACCACAUAAUAACUACGGCGGCUGCAGCAACUUAAUAAAGCCCAUUGUCGUAAAUGGGGAGCCCCCCACUUUUGUCUCUGCCCCUGGUCGCCGAAUUGUUGCUGUUGGUGAUCUACAUGGGGAUCUCGACAAAACAAGAUCCGCACUUGAGAUUGCUGGUGUACUCAGUUCUGAUGGUCAAGACUUGUGGAUUGGUGGAGAAACAGUAUUAGUUCAGCUUGGAGAUAUACUUGAUCGGGGUGAAGAUGAAAUUGCUAUUCUUUCUCUGUUGAGGUCAUUGGACAUCCAGGCAAAAGCAGACGGUGGAGCAGUUUUCCAGGUCAAUGGUAAUCAUGAAACCAUGAAUGUCGACGGUGAUUUCAGAUAUGUUGAUUCUGGGGCAUUUGAUGAGUGCACAGACUUUUUGGAGCACUUGGAAGAAUGUGAAUAUAACUGGGAAGAAGCUUUUGCUAGUUGGGUUGAUGUAUCAGAAAGGCAGAGAGACGAGAGGAAGAGGUCUCAAAGUUACUGGGGUCCAUGGAAUUUGGUAAAGAGACAGAAGGGUGUGAUUGCAAGGUCAGCCCUGCUAAGACCAGGGGGUCCAUUGGCAUCUGAGUUGGCACGACAUGCUGUUAUUCUGAAGAUUGAUGAUUGGGUCUUCUGUCAUGGUGGCCUCCUUCCUCACCAUGUAUCUUACGGCAUAGAGAGGAUAAAUAAAGAAGUAUCUCACUGGAUGAGAGGUCUUGGUAACACAGACAGCUACUUAGAGACCCCUUUCAUAGCAACAAGAGGCUAUGAUAGCGUUGUCUGGAACCGUCUAUACUCCAGAGAUAUUUCGGAUCUAUAUGACUAUCAGAUAAGUCAGAUUGAAUCAAUACUUGAAGAGACGCUGCAAGCUGUAGGUGGUCGGCGAAUGGUGGUUGGACACACUCCUCAACCAAUGGGAGCAAACUGCAAAUUCAACUGCAGCAUAUGGCGAAUUGAUGUUGGCAUGUCCAGUGGGGUUCUUGAUUCAAGACCUGAGGUCCUAGAAAUAAGAGGCAACAAAGCUAGGGUAAUACGGAGCAAAAGAGAUAGGUUCAGUGAGCUUCAGGUUGUUGAUCAUGUAUAGAGAUCAGAGGACGGGCCUGAGGUCUGAGGAAUGGAUUUGUGUUGCACAUUCAUUCUAGCUAGUAUAACUGUAUGCAAGGCUCAAAUUUCCCCUCUUCCCUCCGACACUCUGUCCAGUCGUGAUCAGAAUGAAUCCAUCAGGUUCUCCAGAAAGUGGCAAGAAGGGUUUUCCCAAAUCAACAAAGCAAGCACAAAAUAAUCAGAAUUCUGAUCUUCGAAAUUGCCAAGGCUAGUGUUACUGGUGGUUAUGCUGCGAACAAAGUCAAAUAUCAAAUGACUUGAGAAUUCAACUGAACCAAGGCAUGGUUAGAACAGAUACACAUUUGCUCAUUAUCCUCAUUUGAUUGGAUGAUUUCUGAGAAGCUAAAGCUCAAUUUGGAUUCUGAAUUUGAUCAUUUAAAAUUUAACGUCAAUGAAACUAGGUCAAGCUCAUGAUAGCUGUGUGACCUUGUUA